Molecule: long non-coding RNA, 1496 nt
Organism: Haplochromis burtoni (Burton's mouthbrooder)
Lineage: Eukaryota; Metazoa; Chordata; Actinopteri; Cichliformes; Cichlidae
Product: B-cell receptor CD22
Exons: 6
Source: RefSeq, a predicted model, not a curated record
AUGACUGAAUACAGUUUUACCCAAGCUGGUGUAGAUAUUUCACUCAUAGCUGCUCCUCCCUCACCGACUCUGACUCCAUCCACACUGAAAGUGAAGGAGGGAGCCUCAGUGAGUCUGACGUGCUCUGCUCCAGCUCCAUGUUGGUCUCAUCCUCCAGCUCUGACAUGGAGCCCUAACCUGGGUCAGAGUCAGGAGACACUGCAGGAGAAUCAGGACAAAACUAAAGUCAGGACCUCUGUUAUGAAUUUCACUGCUUCUCACCUCCAUCAUGGAAAUAAAAUCUCCUGCACUGCUGUCUACAAGAAACAAGAUGGUAGCCCUGAUGUCACUGCUGAAGCAAGUUUAACUCCUGAUAUUUCAUAUUCACCCAAAGAUGUACAAAUUUCCAUCAGUCCUUCUGCUCCAAUAUUAGAAAACCAAAAAGUGACUCUGACCUGCAGCAGUAAUGCCAACCCAGCAGUAGAAAACUACACCUGGUACAGAGCUGAUGGAGACCAGGAGACUUUUAUUGGGACUGGAAGCUCUUUUAAUGUUACCGUUUCAAAAGUCAAAAGUACAUUUUUCUGCAAGGCUACAAAUGAACUUGGAUUUAAACGAUCAAGCAACCUACAAAUAAAUGUUCAAUAUUCACCUAAAAACGUCACAGUUUCAGUCAGUCCUUCUGGUCCAGUACCAGAGAACCGCAACGUGACUCUGACCUGCAGCAGUAAUGCCAACCCAGCAGUAGAAAAAUACAUGUGGUACAGAGCUGAUGGAGACCAGGAAAAUUAUAUUGGGACAGGAACUAGUUUAAGUACUAAAGUCUCCAGAGACAAAAGAAGAUUUUUGUGCAAGGCUGAAAAUGAGAUCGGGGUUGGACGUUCUAACCUGACUCACCUUGAUGUUCUGUAUUGUGAAACACAGUGUGGAUUUUACAGUGGAGUCCUUCCUUGGGUCCUUGCUGGUGUGUUUUUCAGUGUCAGCGUGAUCUGUGCAGCUUUCCUUUGCAAAGUACAAAAGAAUGUGAAGCCACAAGAAGAGGACAGAACUUACAUGUCACUGAAUCGUAGAAAUGUUGGCUCUUCAGAGUAUGAUGUCAUUAACACAACUCCAAAGUGACCUUCACUGAUCCUUCAGGAUCUAUCUAAUUUUGUUUUAUUUUGUGUUUCCAGAGAAAUAAUUCUCAGUCACACUUCUCUUUAUUAAAUGCAUUUAAUAGCAACUGAGCGCUUAUUCAUCAGUUUUUUAAAGGGUGCUGGAGUUGCUCAGUUAAGUGGGAUUGAGCAAAUCCAGCAGAAAAUGCUUCCUAAAGCUUUGAUACUGACUAUAAUCCUGUUUGUUGAUAAUGUAAAUUCAUAUUAAACUUAACAGCUUAUAGUGUUUUUCUUUGGGGUUUUUUUUUUUAUAAUAUUUUCAUUUUGCAUUCGAUGUGAAAAAGCUGGGGCAGGGACAUGAUUAUCAGUAGGUCACAUAAGCUUUUAACAGCACUGUUUAGAAAAUAGAGACAUUAGUGAUCU